UGCAUCGGCCGGGAAUCGAACCCGGGCUGCCCGCGUGGCAGGCGAGCAUUCAACCACUGAACCACCGAUGG
This 71-nucleotide transfer RNA is filed under the name Cordylochernes scorpioides. RNAcentral describes it as "tRNA-Gly". The record is from RNAcentral. Lineage: Eukaryota; Metazoa; Arthropoda; Arachnida; Pseudoscorpiones; Chernetidae.